RNAcentral lists this ribosomal RNA (501 nucleotides) under uncultured bacterium. RNAcentral's name for it is "partial 16S ribosomal RNA". It matches the Rfam family "Bacterial small subunit ribosomal RNA", at positions 30 to 523 of the family's 1533-position model. The record is from RNAcentral.
AUUGAACGCUGGCGGCAUGCUUUACACAUGCAAGUCGAACGGCAGCACGGGUGCUUGCACCUGGUGGCGAGUGGCGAACGGGGGAGUAAUACAUCGGAACGUACCUUAUCGUGGGGGAUAGCGCAGCGAAAGUUGCGCUAAUACCGCAUACGCCCUGAGGGGGAAAGUGGGGGACCGCAAGGCCUCACGCGACUAGACCGGCCGAUGUCUGAUUAGCUAGUUGGUAGGGUAAAGGCCUACCAAGGCUUCGAUCAGUAGCUGGUCUGAGAGGACGAGCACACACACUGGGACAGAGACACGGCCCAGAAUCCUACGGUGUGCGGCAGUGGGGAAUUUUGGACAAUGUGGGCAACCCUGAUCCAGAAAUGCCGCGGGAGUGAAAAAGUACUUCGGGUUGUAAAGCUCUUUUGUCAGGGAAGAAACAGCAGCUCUAAUGCAGCAUGCGAAUGACGGUACCUGAAGAAUAAGCACCGGCUAACUACGUGCCAGCAGCCGCCGUAA